Molecule: long non-coding RNA, 2179 nt
Filed under: Sus scrofa (pig)
Lineage: Eukaryota; Metazoa; Chordata; Mammalia; Artiodactyla; Suidae
Description: lncRNA (ENSSSCG00015010530.1)
Source: RNAcentral
UUUAUUUCAAAUCAUUUCUGAUUUUUAGUCCAAUAAACUGAUUUCUCAUGAGCAGCCUAACUUUUCUCUUUUCCUUGUUCUUCUCUCUUAUUUCUUGCUUUGUUAUGUUACUUUUGGGAAAAAAGUGUUUUGAAAAAAUUUUUUCUUAUUAAUCGUAAAGGUAAAGUAUUCAGUUUUUCUCUCCCACAUGAAUUUCCUAUGCAUAUGAAUAUCAUGCCUUUCUGGAUCUCCCUCUCAAGCUCUAUGUGAACAGUAAUCUAUUGUUUUCCUAAUUUAAAAUAUUAAUUAAAUGUUCAAUGUGAUCACAAUAUCAUCAGUUCCAGAUAAAUUAAAAGAAUCUAUUCCUGCCUUCUAGGACCACUGAGUUCCAUGAACUAAUAAGUAACUGUUGGGAACCUUCACCUUUUGGACAAAAUUGCUUCUGUUUCUCCUAGACUUGGAAGUUUUCCUUCCUAGUCAUCUAAUCAAAUGGGUUAUCAUGAUCCCUGAAAUUGUUUGCAAAAUAUCCUUUAAUAUGUUGAUGGCAUUUGUGCUUAACAAGCUUCCUGGUUAUUCUCCCCAAAUCAGCACCUGAAAGACUCCAUCUUAAGGUCAAACUGUCCUUUUUUUUUUAGUGUGUUAGAAGAUAUCUUUAAUAGUGAGACAGAUAAAUACAGUCACUGAACAAGCAGAGCAAAAAAAGGGAAAUAAGAGAGAACAGGGAGAGAAACUAUAAGUUUCUGAUGAUCUUGCGCUUGACUGGUCACUUCUUCUAGACUCUUCAGCCUUGGUACAAUAAGUCGAUGGACUCAGGAAGAAGGGAGGAAGGAAGAUAUGUUGACCAACAUUAGCUUCUGAUAGAAGAGUCAUCUACAGAACCAGGAUGAGUUCACUAGACAUUUUAUUGAAGUUGACGACUAAAGCCUUAGCUGAUUUUGUCCUCUGGACAUGUAUGUCCUUUGCACAUGUAAAGAAGCAGAUUACCAUAGCAGGAUGACAUGGGAAUCUAGGAUCCUUAAUAGUAUUCAAAUACUAAAUAUUGUAUAGCUGGAAUGGUAUAGUGGUAAAGAACAUGAAUUUGGGAGUUAGGGAGGCUUGAAAUGGAAUCACAUCAUGACCACAAACUGCCUGUUUGGUCAUAGACAAGGUACUUAUAUUCGCUCAACCUCAGCUUUCUUAUUUGUACAAUAAAUAUGAUUAUAGUACGUACUACAGGGGAUUAGUGUAAUUAUUGCAUGAGAUAAUAUACAUUAAAAUGUUUAAUCAAGUGCUUAGUGCAUACAUGUGUUAUAUGCUAUUAGCAGAACAUUAAUAAUAAUCAUAAUCACACUAGUAAAGGUUAGGAAGAGGGAUGGUUUUUAAGAAUCCAGUCAGGCUAGCUCUUUAGGAUAAUCAGAUAAACUCCCUUUUCUACUUUAUUUUUUUGUCAGACUUUUUUUGACCCCUGUGAAACAGGUGCUACAUGUGAUACUAGGUGAUCAUAACCAUUCAAUAUACCACUUCCAGUUUAAUCGAAACGGAUUCUCAGUAUUUUUGGAAACUUAAUUUUCAUGUUUCAAGCCAGCUGUAACUGACCAAUCUAUCAAUUAAAUCAACAAAAUUAAUCAGGUGCCCAAUCUAAUAUGUAUUAGAGGCUAUAAAAUAAAUGGGUACAUUUUUCUUUAAUAGUUUUAGUAGAUUGCAAUCUUCAAAUAAAAUUUGAGAACUGAGGCUAACACAUAUGAAAAAAACAUGAAUGCAGAGAUAAAAACAAUAUAUAUAUAUAAACUUUGCUUUUAAGGCUACUAUGAGUUGUAGACAUCUACCUAGUCUAGUGUUGUUUUGCUCUGUUGCUUUGUUUUUUCCUUCAAAUGGUAGUAGGAGGCUUUCUAUGUGAAUUCUACACCUAUUACAAUUGCUUACUUGGUUAUCAAACACUGAUUGCUUAAAGUUAAUUUGCCCAGAAAUUACUAGAUUUGAGGUCUUUAUGUUAACCCAGAAUUUAUCAUCUCAGUUUGACCUCUGAUAUCACUAAUGUUUUAAGGGUUUAGGUUUACCACACAGCCUCUGUUGUCUUCAUAUUCUGACCCUUACCUCCAACUUUGCUUUUGUUGUCCUUAAUUUCACUCUGACAGUAUCAAAGACUGGCCAACAUGUUGCCAUGAUAUUUGCAUUGUGUUUUACACUUUAGCAAGUGUUUUCACAUGUAACUGGUUCAUUU